This 265-nucleotide ribosomal RNA is filed under the name uncultured archaeon. RNAcentral describes it as "partial 16S ribosomal RNA". It matches the Rfam family "Archaeal small subunit ribosomal RNA", at positions 717 to 982 of the family's 1478-position model. The record is from RNAcentral.
AGACGUCUACAUUAGAUACCCGCGUAGUCCCAGCCGUAAACUAUGCGCGUUAGGUGUAUCGGUGACCACGAGUUACCGAGGUGCCGAAGGGAAACCGUGAAACGUGCCGCCUGGGAAGUACGGUCGCAAGGCUGAAACUUAAAGGAAUUGGCGGGGGAGCACCACAACAGGUGGAGCCUGCGGUUUAAUUGGACUCAACGCCGGGAAGCUCACCGGAUAGGACAGCAGAAUGAUUGCCGGGCUGAAGACCCUGCACGACUAGCUG